GAAAUUCAAACUCCAUCUCUUUCACUCAUCCUCCCACCUACGGCCAUCAAGGGGCUCCUAAGGAGCUUCAUUUUCAACUUCUUGCAAGUGAUUUCUAGAGUACUCAAGGGUGGUUCAAGGUGAUCUAACUUGUCCACUUCAAGGAGCUUUUAUCCACCAUUCCACCCACUCUUCAUCUUCUUGUUCUUGAAGUUCAUCCCUAGCCUUCUGCUAGCAGUGAAUGUUCUUAUUCAUUUAUUAUACUCCAUUUAACAUGUAGAUUAUAGUGUAUAAGUUGGUUCAUCAAGAAACUCACAUUUUAAGAAUGAAAACUCUACACACAACUAACUAAAUCUACUAAAAACACACAAUCUUGAAGUUGUUAGUUGACAAGUUUAUGUUAUAUAUAAAAAUACAUAACACGUAUACUUGCUAGAAGUUGUUAAAAAUAUCAAUUUAGCAAGUGUACAUGUAGAACAAGUAUGAUGAACUGGAUGACAAAAAGUAUUCUUGAAAAUGUUGUUUAAGGAUUACAUAGUUUUUUAUAAAAUUUUUGUAGUUGUAAGAAUAAUAACUCAUAAAUUAUUUUCUACAAGAUGGUAUCAAAGUUGAAAAAUAAUAGAUCUUUAAAAUAGAAGAAUAGAACAAGUUGUGAUUUUAAAGAUCUAUAUGUUUACAAGUAUAUAUAUGUUCAUCAUCAGACCUUAGAAAAAAUGUAUAUUUCUUGUUGUGGAAGAUUAUUACUUAUUAAAGUUGUGGGGAAAGGCCUGGUCUAUUCGCACACGCCUUUUGUCUUUUUGCACAUCCAAAGCACCGCGCUAUGACCAAAGCGCCCCGCUUUGGCCAUAGCGCGGCGCUUUGGAUGUUUUUUUUUAGGCAGAUUGGAUUUGGGUUGAUGUGGAUUUUUGGAGUUGCCGGAGAAGGAUGUGUAACUUGUUGAUCAUCCGGUCCACCAUAAACGGUAGCGGAACUUCUAGUUCACCGUUCAUCGAAAAAGUUAGGGUCACCGGAGAAGGAUGUGUAACUUGUUUUGUGUUGCCGUUGUGAAUGGGAAUUUGUUUUUGAAU
This 1046-nucleotide long non-coding RNA is filed under the name Helianthus annuus (common sunflower). RNAcentral's name for it is "hypothetical non coding rna". Lineage: Eukaryota; Viridiplantae; Streptophyta; Magnoliopsida; Asterales; Asteraceae. The record is from RNAcentral.